UUNUGAACUGGGUGACUAGAGUGUGUCAGAGGGAGGUAGAAUUCCACGUGUAGCAGUGAAAUGCGUAGAGAUGUGGAGGAAUACCGAUGGCGAAGGCAGCCUCCUGGGAUAACACUGACGUUCAUGCUCGAAAGCGUGGGUAGCAAACAGGAUUAGAUACCCUGGUAGUCCACGCCCUAAACGAUGUCAAUUAGCUGUUGGGCAACUUGAUUGCUUAGUAGCGUAGCUAACGCGUGAAAUUGACCGCCUGGGGAGUACGGUCGCAAGAUUAAAACUCAAAGGAAUUGACGGGGACCCGCACAAGCGGUGGAUGAUGUGGAUUAAUUCGAUGCAACGCGAAGAACCUUACCUGGUCUUGACAUGUACGGAAUCCUCCAGAGACGGAGGAGUGCCUUCGGGAGCCGUAACACAGGUGCUGCAUGGCUGUCGUCAGCUCGUGUCGUGAGAUGUUGGGUUAAGUCCCGCAACGAGCGCAACCCUUGUCAUUAGUUGCCAUCAUUUAGUUGGGCACUCUAAUGAGACUGCCGGUGACAAGCCGGAGGAAGGUGGGGAUGACGUCAAGUCCUCAUGGCCCUUAUGACCAGGGCUUCACACGUCAUACAAUGGUCGGUACAGAGGGUAGCCAAGCCGCGAGGUGGAGCCAAUCUCACAAAACCGAUCGUAGU
Molecule: ribosomal RNA, 665 nt
Filed under: uncultured bacterium
Lineage: Bacteria
Description: bacterial SSU rRNA
Rfam family: Bacterial small subunit ribosomal RNA
Source: RNAcentral